Molecule: ribosomal RNA, 108 nt
Filed under: Candidatus Xianfuyuplasma coldseepsis
Lineage: Bacteria; Bacillati; Mycoplasmatota; Mollicutes; Candidatus Izemoplasmatales; Candidatus Izemoplasmataceae
Source: RNAcentral
UCUGGUGGCGAUGGCAAAGAGGAUACACCUGUUCCCAUCCCGAACACAGAAGUUAAGCUCUUUAGCGCCGAUGGUAGUACAUUGUGCAAGAGUAGGACGCCGCCAGGC